UACAGGCUUAACACAUGCAAGUCGAGGGGAAACGACAUCGAAAGCUUGCUUUUGAUGGGCGUCGACCGGCGCACGGGUGAGUAACGCGUAUCCAACCUGCCCACCACUUGGGGAUAACCUUGCGAAAGUAAGACUAAUACCCAAUGACGUCUCUAGAAGACAUCUGAAAGAGAUUAAAGAUUUAUCGGUGAUGGAUGGGGAUGCGUCUGAUUAGCUUGUUGGCGGGGUAACGGCCCACCAAGGCAACGAUCAGUAGGGGUUCUGAGAGGAAGGUCCCCCACAUUGGAACUGAGACACGGUCCAAACUCCUACGGGAGGCAACAGUGAGGAGUAUUGGUCAAUGGACGAGAGUCUGAACCAGCCAAGUAGCGUGCAGGAUGACGGCCCUAUGGGUUGUAAACUGCUUUUAUAAGGGAAUAAAGUGAGUCUCGUGAGACUUUUUGCAUGUACCUUAUGAAUAAGGACCGGCUAAUUCCGUGCCAGCAGCCGCGGUAAUACGGAAGGUCCGGGCGUUAUCCGGAUUUAUUGGGUUUAAAGGGAGCGUAGGCCGGAGAUUAAGCGUGUUGUGAAAUGUAGACGCUCAACGUCUGCACUGCAGCGCGAACUGGUUUCCUUGAGUACGCACAAAGUGGGCGGAAUUCGUGGUGUAGCGGUGAAAUGCUUAGAUAUCGCGAAGAACUCCGAUUGCGAAGGCAGCUCACUGGAGCGCAACUGACGCUGAAGCUCGAAAGUGCGGGUAUCGAACAGGAUUAGAUACCCUGGUAGUCCGCACGGUAAACGAUGGAUGCCCGCUGUUGGUCUGAAUAGGUCAGCGGCCAAGCGAAAGCAUUAAGCAUCCCACCUGGGGAGUACGCCGGCAACGGUGCAACUCAAAGGAAUUGACGGAAUCAGUAG
This 894-nucleotide ribosomal RNA is filed under the name uncultured Bacteroidota bacterium. Its description in RNAcentral is "bacterial SSU rRNA". It matches the Rfam family "Bacterial small subunit ribosomal RNA", at positions 41 to 926 of the family's 1533-position model. Lineage: Bacteria; Pseudomonadati; Bacteroidota. The record is from RNAcentral.